UACGAAGGGAGCUAGCGUUGUUCGGAAUCACUGGGCGUAAAGCGCACGUAGGCGGACGUGUCAGUCAGGGGUGAAAUCCCGGAGCUCAACUUCGGAACUGCCUUUGAUACAGCACGUCUUGAGUCCGGAAGAGGUGGGUGGAAUUCCUAGUGUAGAGGUGAAAUUCGUAGAUAUUAGGAAGAACACCAGUGGCGAAGGCGGCCCACUGGUCCGGUACUGACGCUGAGGUGCGAAGGCCAGGGGAGCAAACGGG
This 253-nucleotide ribosomal RNA is filed under the name uncultured bacterium. Its description in RNAcentral is "partial 16S ribosomal RNA". It matches the Rfam family "Bacterial small subunit ribosomal RNA", at positions 524 to 776 of the family's 1533-position model. The record is from RNAcentral.